GCUUGUCUCAAAGAUUAAGCCAUGCAUGUCUAAGUAUAAACUGCUUUAUACUGUGAAACUGCGAAUGGCUCAUUAAAUCAGUUAUAGUUUAUUUGAUGGUACUUACUUACUCGGAUAACCGUAGUAAUUCUAGAGCUAAUACAUGCGCAAAUACCCAACUGCUUGUCGGACGGGUAGCAUUUAUUAGAUUGAAACCAAUGCAGUCUUCGGGCUGGUAUUGUGUUGAGUCAUAAUAACUGUGCGGAUCGCGUUUUACGCGAUAAAUCGAUUGAGUUUCUGCCCUAUCAGCUUUGGAUGGUAGGAUAUGGGCCUACCAUGGCAUUAACGGGUAACGGGGAAUUAGGGUUUGAUUCCGGAGAGGGAGCCUUAGAAACGGCUACCACAUCCAAGGAAGGCAGCAGG
This 402-nucleotide ribosomal RNA is filed under the name Salilagenidium thermophilum. Its description in RNAcentral is "partial small subunit ribosomal RNA". It matches the Rfam family "Eukaryotic small subunit ribosomal RNA", at positions 30 to 432 of the family's 1831-position model. Lineage: Eukaryota; Oomycota; Peronosporomycetes; Pythiales; Lagenidiaceae. The record is from RNAcentral.